This 402-nucleotide ribosomal RNA is filed under the name uncultured Methanosaeta sp. RNAcentral describes it as "bacterial SSU rRNA". It matches the Rfam family "Archaeal small subunit ribosomal RNA", at positions 939 to 1338 of the family's 1478-position model. Lineage: Archaea; Methanobacteriati; Methanobacteriota; Methanomicrobia; Methanotrichales; Methanotrichaceae. The record is from RNAcentral.
ACAGCAAUAUGGAGGGUCAGGGCUGAAGACCUUACCCGAUUAGCUGAGAGGUGGUGCAUGGCCGUCGUCAGUUCGUACUGUGAAGCAUCCUGUUAAGUCAGGCAACGAGCGAGACCCACGUCCACAGUUGCCAGCAUACCCUCCGGGGUGAUGGGUACACUGUGGAGACCGCCGCUGCUAAAGCGGAGGAAGGAGUGGGCAACGGUAGGUCAGUAUGCCCCGAAUCUCCCGGGCUACACGCGGGCUACAAUGGUUGGUACAAUGGGCAUCUACCCCGAAAGGGGAAGGAAAUCUCUUAAAGCCAAUCGUAGUUCGGAUUGAGGGCUGCAACUCGCCCUCAUGAAGCUGGAAUCCGUAGUAAUCGCGUUUCAACAGAACGCGGUGAAUACGUCCCUGCUCCUU